UAGGGAAUCUUCCGCAAUGGGCGAAAGCCUGACGGAGCAACGCCGCGUGAGUGAUGAAGGUCUUCGGAUCGUAAAACUCUGUUAUUAGGGAAGAACAAAUGUGUAAGUAACUAUGCACGUCUUGACGGUACCUAAUCAGAAAGCCACGGCUAACUACGUGCCAGCAGCCGCGGUAAUACGUAGGUGGCAAGCGUUAUCCGGAAUUAUUGGGCGUAAAGCGCGCGUAGGCGGUUUUUUAAGUCUGAUGUGAAAGCCCACGGCUCAACCGUGGAGGGUCAUUGGAAACUGGAAAACUUGAGUGCAGAAGAGGAAAGUGGAAUUCCAUGUGUAGCGGUGAAAUGCGCAGAGAUAUGGAGGAACACCAGUGGCGAAGGCGACUUUCUGGUCUGUAACUGACGCUGAUGUGCGAAAGCGGGGGGAGCAAACAGG
Molecule: ribosomal RNA, 429 nt
Filed under: Actinomycetes bacterium
Lineage: Bacteria; Bacillati; Actinomycetota; Actinomycetes
Description: Actinobacteria bacterium partial 16S ribosomal RNA
Rfam family: Bacterial small subunit ribosomal RNA
Source: RNAcentral